Small nuclear RNA from Dipodomys ordii (Ord's kangaroo rat), 126 nucleotides. The record is from Ensembl. Lineage: Eukaryota; Metazoa; Chordata; Mammalia; Rodentia; Heteromyidae.
GCGUUGUACGAAAGGAGAGAAGAUUAGUACUCCCUUUGAUAAGGCUGGAAGAGGCCCUUGGGCCUGACAAUGUGCAUACAUUUAAGGCAUUGCCACCUACUUCGUGGCAUCUAAACAUCAUUUUUU